AGCGAACGCUGGCGGCAGGCCUGACACAUGCAAGUCGAACGGACCCUUCGGGGUUAGUGGCGGACGGGUGAGUAACACGUGGGAACGUGCCUUUAGGUUCGGAAUAGCUCCUGGAAACGGGUGGUAAUGCCGAAUGUGCCCUUCGGGGGAAAGAUUUAUCGCCUUUAGAGCGGCCCGCGUCUGAUUAGCUAGUUGGUGAGGUAACGGCUCACCAAGGCGACGAUCAGUAGCUGGUCUGAGAGGAUGACCAGCCACACUGGGGCUGAGACACGGCCCAGACUCCUACGGGAGGCAGCAGUGGGGAAUCUUGCGCAAUGGGCGAAAGCCUGACGCAGCCAUGCCGCGUGAAUGAUGAAGGUCUUAGGAUUGUAAAAUUCUUUCACCGGGGACGAUAAUGACGGUACCCGGAGAAGAAGCCCCGGCUAACUUCGUGCCAGCAGCCGCAGUAA
RNAcentral lists this ribosomal RNA (449 nucleotides) under uncultured bacterium. Its description in RNAcentral is "partial 16S ribosomal RNA". It matches the Rfam family "Bacterial small subunit ribosomal RNA", at positions 29 to 523 of the family's 1533-position model. The record is from RNAcentral.